This 96-nucleotide ribosomal RNA is filed under the name Minisyncoccota bacterium. RNAcentral's name for it is "partial 23S ribosomal RNA". It matches the Rfam family "Bacterial large subunit ribosomal RNA", at positions 2830 to 2925 of the family's 2925-position model. The record is from RNAcentral. Lineage: Bacteria; Bacillati; Minisyncoccota.
GAGGGCCGUGGGAGAUGACCACGUUGAUAGGCACCAGGUGGAAGCACAGUAAUGUGUUGAGCCGAGGUGUACUAAUUCCCCGACAGAACUCUCGAA